RNAcentral lists this ribosomal RNA (497 nucleotides) under uncultured bacterium. Its description in RNAcentral is "partial 16S ribosomal RNA". It matches the Rfam family "Bacterial small subunit ribosomal RNA", at positions 28 to 507 of the family's 1533-position model. The record is from RNAcentral.
GAUGAACGCUGGCGGCGUGCCUAAUACAUGCAAGUCGAGCGAACAGACGAGGAGCUUGCUCCUCUGACGUUAGCGGCGGACGGGUGAGUAACACGUGGAUAACCUACCUAUAAGACUGGGAUAACUUCGGGAAACCGGAGCUAAUACCGGAUAAUAUAUUGAACCGCAUGGUUCAAUAGUGAAAGACGGUUUUGCUGUCACUAAUAGAUGGAUCCGCGCCGCAUUAGCUAGUUGGUAAGGUAACGGCUUACCAAGGCAACGAUGCGUAGCCGACCUGAGAGGGUGAUCGGCCACACUGGAACUGGGACACGGUCCAGACUCCUACGAGAGGCAGCAGUAGGGAAUCUUCCGCAAUGGGCGAAAGCUUGACGGAGCAACGCCGCGUGAGUGAUGAAGGUCUUCGGAUCGUAAAACUCUGUUAUUAGGGAAGAACAAAUGUGUAAGUAACUAUGCACGUCUUGACGGUACCUAAUCAGAAAGCCACGGCUAACUACGUG